CCCUUAGAUGUUCUGGGCCGCACGCGCGCUACACUGAUGCAUUCAACGAGCCUAUCCUUGACCGACAGGUCCGGGUAAUCUUUGAAUCUGCAUCGUGACGGGGAUAGAUUAUUGCAAUUAUUAAUCUUCAACGAGGAAUGCCUAGUAGGCGCAAGUCAUCAGCUUGCGUCGAUUACGUCCCUGCCCUUUGUACACACCGCCCGUCGCUCCUACCGAUUGGGUGUGCAGGUGAAAUGUUCGGAUCGGCCGUUUGUCGCGGUUUCCGCGUCAUGUGGCUGAGAAGUUCAUUAAACCCUCCCACCUAGAGGAAGGAGAAGUCGUAACA
Molecule: ribosomal RNA, 325 nt
Filed under: uncultured eukaryote
Lineage: Eukaryota
Description: partial 18S ribosomal RNA
Rfam family: Eukaryotic small subunit ribosomal RNA
Source: RNAcentral